UUUUUUUUUUGGUAAAUAAGAGAGCAUUAGUUUGAAUUAGAAGAAGUUGAAAAUAGAAUUUUAGUAAAGUAAAAUUAAAGCAAUGGUUAUUUACCCGAAGGAAGCGGCCAUGAUAAAGGUUAUAGCGGAUCCAAGGUUGGACAUGGCGGAUGCAAACGUUACCGAAGUUAAAACCAGGGACUCUAAGUAGAAAUUUUGAGUUAAUACUCCUCUGCAUAAUCAAAUCAAAUCAAAUCAAAGUUAACCUCAGUGUCACUUUAACGAAGUAAUAGAUAACAUGUCUUAUCUAUGAUCUUUUGGAUGUGGACCAAAUUAGAGCAGCUAUCAGAGCUUAUCUAGUGUUUUUUAGUAGAUAAGUUCCAAUAUGUGCUUUUCAGUUUGUGUCCAAACAGACUCCUAGUACUUUAAGAUAUGUUAUGAAGUUAGCAUUAAAAAGUUAAAUGCGAUUAAUGGAGAUCUCCAAAAUUAGAUUUAUGACAUGUGAUGUGAUAGGAAAUUUUAACUAGAAUCUUAAAAAAAUUAAACUAAGAUCUUACUUCAUAGUUAACACCACAACUUCACUCCCAUCCAGAGAGAGAUAGGAAUACAAGAGAGAGCAAUGAGUCAUAUAAUAUGUGAUGUGAUAGUAAAAACAUAAAGAGAUAAGAAGAGAAAGUGGGUGGAAGUGAGAUAGAAGAGAAGCUGAGUGUGAAUGUAUCAAAUCUGUAGAUAUUACUUUAUCUAAUCAGUACAUGGUUUUGUUUAGAUGUUGUAUGCUUGAACUUUGGAACAGAAAUCUAACUCAAACUUUGCAAAUAUAUGUGGCAAUAUAUGUACGAGUGAAAGAAGAAAGAUUGAGUUGAAUAAUUCACAAAUGAAUAACAGGAUACGUGAAAGAAAUUAAUGCAAGUACUGGUGCUUCAAAAUUCGUUCCAAACUAAAUUGAAGAGCAUCAAUCAAAUGAUGAUAUACAAUAAAGGAGCAUAUCAAUAAACAUGACACUACAUACAUACCCAAAUAAAGCGCACAGAAAUAACUGAAACAGCACAUUCCAAGUCAUCUUUGACCUCUUCUUCCUGUUAACAUUCAUGGAUGACAAAAAUCAUAUCAGCUGGAUAUAUCUAUGUUAUGGGGUGUUUUAAUAUUGCUAUGGCUUCUCAUUUUUCUACAACUAGCAAUGAAAAGACACGCUCUUCAAAGGAUUUUUCUCAAAUAAUCUUAUUAAUUGAAGAUUGAAUUAACCUUUCAAGAAUGAGCGCAAGUGGAGCUAUAGAAGCUGUAGCGAAUACAUAGCGGUAGGCAAUAACCACCCUCAAGCUCAUGCCAUCGUUUAUGGCCAGCUUGUACAGUACAUUUGCCCCAACAUAUGAUACCUGCACUGCUACCAUUAGCAUCAUUGGCUUCAAACCCUGCACCACAUUGCCAAUCUUCUUCAUCUUUAGUAAGUGUCACAGGUUACCACUACCACUGGUCACACCAACGUCCAACUCUGAAAAUGGGCUUAAAUUUCACAUAAGACAGUGUGAUAGUGGUGAAUGAGAGAUAGAGAAACUGAGUGCUAGAGCUAUAUAUAAUAAGAUUCAGGUUACUUUAGUGCGUGCUAACGUCAUCUUGUAUGAGUGCAACUGAUAUCCAAAAUUAGCCUGUAUUUGUUUGCACCGUUUAAUGUUGCACUUUCUCUACAACUAUUAAUUAUAAUGAUAGUGUGAUAAGGAAAAAAACAGAAAUAUAAUAUGACAGUGAAAUAAAACUAAAGCAGAGAUAUUAAACGAGUUAAAACACUAACUUUUCAAAAAAAGUUGUCUACCUUACAUCCAUUUUUUUUAGAGUAGCCAAGCAUAUGUCUUAGAAAGAUCAGAAUCUCUAACAAAUAGUAGCAACAACCUUAAUGGACAUGCAACUAGACUACAAGCAUUCUUGCAUAGAAAAAAGAAACAUUACCUGAGACAUCAAUAAAGUAUCUAAUCAAAUACAAGAGUAGAAACUCAGGGCGUUGCCCAACAAAACAGACACAUACUGCAAGUCCAAGCACCACUACAUUAACAAAAUCUCACUGUCCUCUUAAUUGCAGUUACCAAAUUUAAAAUCAACUUCUGCUUCGGUGCCUUUCCCUAAGCCCAUUUCCAUUAGAAUAAGGCACCUCCUCACGAGCACGGUAAGGAGGUGGUGACCUGCUGUAGCUGCGACCAUGAGGUGAAACACUGCGGCGUCUAGGGGACCGGCCAUGCGGACUAACUUAAUUUGUUUGUUUCUCAAGUCACCAUAUGGCUAGAUUUUUUUUAAAUACAAAAGUUUCAUAAUAUGAUGAGAAACAGUCUACUCAAUGGGGACAAAGAUACCCAAGCUGAUAUGAAUACUUCCAGAACACCUCCUCUGGUAGUCAUGGCAGUAUAA
Molecule: long non-coding RNA, 2373 nt
Filed under: Lotus japonicus
Lineage: Eukaryota; Viridiplantae; Streptophyta; Magnoliopsida; Fabales; Fabaceae
Description: long non-coding RNA (LJAP_LNC000136)
Source: RNAcentral